UACGGAGGGUGCAAGCGUUAUCCGGAUUUACUGGGUUUAAAGGGUGCGUAGGUGGGUCUGUAAGUCAGUGGUGAAAUCUCCGAGCUUAACUCGGAAACUGCCAUUGAUACUAUAGGUCUUGAAUUAUCUGGAGGUAAGCGGAAUAUGUCAUGUAGCGGUGAAAUGCUUAGAUAUGACAUAGAGCACCAAUUGCGAAGGCAGCUUACUACGGAUUGAUUGACACUGAGGCACGAAAGCGUGGGGAGCAAACAGG
RNAcentral lists this ribosomal RNA (253 nucleotides) under uncultured bacterium. Its description in RNAcentral is "partial 16S ribosomal RNA". It matches the Rfam family "Bacterial small subunit ribosomal RNA", at positions 524 to 776 of the family's 1533-position model. The record is from RNAcentral.